UGUUGCAUAACCUUUCUCAGUUUUGGUCGUAGGAAGAGACACUACUUCAAAUCCAACGCUAACAUCACCAAUUACAACAUGAGUGAGAUGAUAAAAGGAAAUAGGCUAUGAAGCAACAAUAAAACCCUGUCUCUCGGUGCCAAAAAAGAUCUUUCAUUCACGGGGAUCAGUACUAGAUUCACCACUACCAUCGCCGUUAAUCCAAUAUGGACCAAUGUCACUUCCAGGAACUCUUAGAAAAAAUGAGGAAAGAGAAAAUCCGUUUUUUUCUCUAGGUUUUCUUUUUUUAGGUUUUCAAAAUCUUUUGAUUCACGAUGAAGGAGAAUCAUCCAUUAGUUCUUGCCAAUGUUAAUGGUGAAUCUUCUGAUUCACAUGCUAAACUUCAUGAGAAUAAAGUCGAGUCUUUUGCUGAUCUGGUCAAGGGAAAAAAACCCUAUAUGUUAACAGAUUCAGAUCCCACUUCUCUUCCUGAUGCUACCAUUUUUUGUGAUGAACCAGCGUUGGAUCUACCUCUUUAUUUUACACAAGAGGGGAAAGAUAUGUUUCUGGAAACUUGGUGAUGGAAGGUGCAAGUUAGUUCCUAUGAAAAAGGGUUUUUUCAUCAUUAAGCUAUCUACUGCUGAAGAUAAGGAACGAGUUUGCCAUGGAGAUUCAUGGGUGGUUCAGAAACAAACUCAUAGGCUUUUGAAUUUUCCCCCAAUUUUUAUCCGGAAAGACAAAGCACAUCUCACGCUUCAGUUUGGAAAUCCAAGAUAUGGAGAAGAUUAAUUUUUGUACCCACUGUAAAUUUAUGGGUCACAAAUUUGAGAACUGUCUUGCAGCUCGUAAAAUAUUGGGGGGUCCUGUUUUAUAUGGUGCUUCUUUUGAGACUCGGAUUCUGAAUCAAAAGUGCAAGGAAGGUAGCUCUGAGGCUUUAAAAAGUGAAGGUCAUAAUCAAAAUUCAAAGUACGCUUGGAAGGAAGUGAAGAGUAGAAAGAAAAAUAUGCAUGGAAACAAAAAUUUGCAAGGAAGCGUCAGUUCUGGGAAUGGUGAUGCUGGUAGUGGUGUAGUCAAUGAUGGGUAGUUAAACAAAGCCAAACAUGUUGCUGCUACGUUGGAGGAAAUUUCAACACCUUUGGUUGCUGGUAAGGUGGAUGAUUUUUCAACACCUUUGGUUAAUGAAUUGCUUAGCUCUGAACCGGUUUUCUCAAAAAAUAAACAUGAAAAUUUUAGUGCAGAACUGGGUUUAAGAGAUAAGGAGGAGAACAUUAAUAUAGUAGAUAGUGAGGAGUUGGAUGAACAAUCUGAAGGUAAUUCUGCUUUGGAAGCUGUGGUUAUGGCAGAGGAGGUUAAAAACUCAAAGGAAUGGGGUAUUGUUUCAGAUGUUAAGGGAGCAGUAAAUUCAAAAAAGGGGUUUGAAUGUGAGAGAUUCUGUGAUUAGCUCGGAAAGUUUAGGUAAUCAAACUCUGGGAAAAGACGUUUCUAGCUCGGACAUGGGUACGGUCAGCGAUAAUAAUGUAGAGAAUUAAUGUGGCAAAGAAAUCCGGUCAUAUCUCGGAUUUAGUAUCCUGUUCUAAUAAGGAAUCCCAGUUUGUUUCUAGUAUGGCUGAAGCGGGUAAAAACAACACUUUAAAUGUGGAAGACUCUACUGGCCAUGAAAAUAUGUUGGUGGAAAGUAGUGGGCCUCCGGCAUGUAACAAAAAUUAUCAUACGGCCACUGAUGUUGGGUAUGUGGAAGCUAAUGAAAACCAAACGGGAAUUAUUGACAAACCUAAAAAUGAUGCAGGCACGGGCAGUGCUAAUUCUGAAGGCACUACAGAGCCAAAAGAAUUGGGUUCAGAUGUAGCAAUCUCCGGGCUUGCUAAUAAUCCCAAUGAAAAUUCAAUGGGCGGUGACAAUUUGGUCUUACAAGAUGGUACGGGAUCUGUUUUGGACAAUAAGGAGGUUUCAAGUACUUAUACAGGGAAUAUUUCUAAGAGGAUGAAACUACAAUGGAAGAGCUACAAGCAAAGAAGAAUGCUUUCCGUGCAAGAUUGGAUGCUAUGAAAUCUCAACGGGAAGUUUCACUACUAGCCAUGGCCAUGUUAGAAAGUCGCACUGCUUUGGAGGGGAACAUCUUGGAUGAUAAAACUGUGGAUGUAAAUAGUUUGGGCGAUUUUUACCUGGUAAUUAUGCUUCGGAUGAAGAUGAGGAGGGCGAUUUUUAUGAAGAUUAUGAGGGUUCAGAUAUUAUGCCUAUCAUAAAGCAAAAGCAAAACCAUAUAGAGGACGUUGAUAACUUCCUUUUCUUUUCUUUUAGGAGAUGUUUUUUUUUUCCUUUUGGAGUUUUCUUACGAGACUAUUUGAGUUUUUUCAUUUACCCCUUUGGUUUAUAGGAUGGGGGCCCUUUGAGCCCCUUUGUAAUUCUUGUAAUUACAUUUUUUACUUCAAUAAACUUUUGGACUUGGCAGAAAAACGA
Papaver somniferum (opium poppy) is the source of this 2436-nucleotide long non-coding RNA. RefSeq lists it as uncharacterized. The transcript has 2 exons. The record is from RefSeq and is a predicted model, not a curated record. Lineage: Eukaryota; Viridiplantae; Streptophyta; Magnoliopsida; Ranunculales; Papaveraceae.